Molecule: non-coding RNA, 29 nt
Filed under: Homo sapiens (human)
Lineage: Eukaryota; Metazoa; Chordata; Mammalia; Primates; Hominidae
Source: RNAcentral
UGGUGAGAACUUGCCAAAAGGUUGGAGAA